UGGGGAAUUCUGGACAAUGGGCGCAAGCCUGAUCCAGCCAUGCCGCGUGCGGGAAGAAGGCCUUCGGGUUGUAAACCGCUUUUGUCAGGGAAGAAAUCCUUUGAGCUAAUACCUCGGGGGGAUGACGGUACCUGAAGAAUAAGCACCGGCUAACUACGUGCCAGCAGCCGCGGUAAUACGUAGGGUGCAAGCGUUAAUCGGAAUUACUGGGCGUAAAGCGUGGGCAGGCGGUUAUGCAAGACAGAUGUGAAAUCCGCCGGCUCAACCGGAGAACUGCACUUGAAACUGCAUAGCUGGAGUACGGUAGAGGGAGAUGGAAUUCCGCGUGUAGAAGUGAAAUGCGUAGAUAUGCGGAGGAACACCGAUGGCGAAGGCAAUCCCCUGGGCCUGCACUGACGCUCAUGCACGAAAGCGUGGGGAGCAAACA
RNAcentral lists this ribosomal RNA (427 nucleotides) under uncultured bacterium. RNAcentral describes it as "bacterial SSU rRNA". It matches the Rfam family "Bacterial small subunit ribosomal RNA", at positions 355 to 774 of the family's 1533-position model. The record is from RNAcentral.